GACGAACGCUGGCGGCGUGCUUAACACAUGCAAGUCGAACGGAAAGGCCCUGCUUGCAGGGUACUCGAGUGGCGAACGGGUGAGUAACACGUGGGUGAUCUGCCCUGCACUUCGGGAUAAGCCUGGGAAACUGGGUCUAAUACCGGAUAGGAGCCAUUUUUAGUGUGAUGGUUGGAAAGAUUUUUCGGUGUCGGAUGAGCUCGCGGCCUAUCAGCUUGUUGGUGGGGUAAUGGCCUACCAAGGCGGCGACGGGUAGCCGGCCUGAGAGGGUGGGCGGCCACAUUGGGACUGAGGGACGGCCCAGGCUCCUACGGGAGGCAGCAGUGGGGAAUAUUGCACAAUGGGCGCCAGCCUGAUGCAGCGGCGCCGCGUGGGGGAAGACGGCCUUCGGGUUGUAAACUCCUUUCGCUAGGGACGAAGCUUUUUGUGACGGUACCUAGAUAAGAAGCACCGGCUAACUACGUG
RNAcentral lists this ribosomal RNA (465 nucleotides) under uncultured bacterium. Its description in RNAcentral is "partial 16S ribosomal RNA". It matches the Rfam family "Bacterial small subunit ribosomal RNA", at positions 28 to 507 of the family's 1533-position model. The record is from RNAcentral.